RNAcentral lists this ribosomal RNA (972 nucleotides) under uncultured beta proteobacterium. RNAcentral's name for it is "bacterial SSU rRNA". It matches the Rfam family "Bacterial small subunit ribosomal RNA", at positions 61 to 1032 of the family's 1533-position model. The record is from RNAcentral. Lineage: Bacteria; Pseudomonadati; Pseudomonadota; Betaproteobacteria.
GUCGAACGGUAACAGGCCGCAAGGUGCUGACGAGUGGCGAACGGGUGAGUAAUGCAUCGGAACGUGCCCAGUCGUGGGGGAUAACGCAGCGAAAGCUGUGCUAAUACCGCAUACGAUCUAUGGAUGAAAGCGGGGGACCGUAAGGCCUCGCGCGAUUGGAGCGGCCGAUGUCAGAUUAGCUAGUUGGUGGGGUAAAGGCCCACCAAGGCGACGAUCUGUAGCUGGUCUGAGAGGACGACCAGCCACACUGGGACUGAGACACGGCCCAGACUCCUACGGGAGGCAGCAGUGGGGAAUUUUGGACAAUGGGCGCAAGCCUGAUCCAGCAAUGCCGCGUGCAGGAAGAAGGCCUUCGGGUUGUAAACUGCUUUUGUACGGAGCGAAACGGUCCGGGUUAAUACCCUGGGCUAAUGACGGUACCGUAAGAAUAAGCACCGGCUAACUACGUGCCAGCAGCCGCGGUAAUACGUAGGGUGCAAGCGUUAAUCGGAAUUACUGGGCGUAAAGCGUGCGCAGGCGGUGAUGUAAGACAGGCGUGAAAUCCCCGGGCUCAACCUGGGAAUUGCGCUUGUGACUGCAUCGCUGGAGUGCGGCAGAGGGGGAUGGAAUUCCGCGUGUAGCAGUGAAAUGCGUAGAUAUGCGGAGGAACACCGAUGGCGAAGGCAAUCCCCUGGGCCUGCACUGACGCUCAUGCACGAAAGCGUGGGGAGCAAACAGGAUUAGAUACCCUGGUAGUCCACGCCCUAAACGAUGUCAACUGGUUGUUGGGUCUCUUCUGACUCAGUAACGAAGCUAACGCGUGAAGUUGACCGCCUGGGGAGUACGGCCGCAAGGUUGAACUCAAAGGAAUUGACGGGGACCCGCACAGCGGUGGAUGAUGUGGUUUAAUUCGAUGCAACGCGAAAACCUUACCCACCUUUGACAUGUACGGAAUUUGCCAGAGAUGGCUUAGUGCUCGAAAGAAAGCCGUAC